AUGACGCUGGCGGCAGGCCUAACACAUGCAAGUCGAGCGAGAAAGCCCUUCGGGGUGAGUAGAGCGGCGGACGGGUGAGUAACGCGUGGGAAUCUGUCUAGUAGUGGGGGAUAACACGGGGAAACUCGUGCUAAUACCGCAUACGCCCUACGGGGGAAAGCAGGGGAUCUUCGGACCUUGCGCUAUUGGGUGAGCCCGCGUCGGAUUAGCUAGUUGGUGGGGUAAAGGCCUACCAAGGCGACGAUCCGUAGCUGGUCUGAGAGGAUGAUCAGCCACACUGGGACUGAGACACGGCCCAGACUCCUACGGGAGGCAGCAGUGGGGAAUAUUGCGCAAUGGAGGAAACUCUGACGCAGCCAUGCCGCGUGUGUGAAGAAGGCUCUAGGGUUGUAAAGCACUUUCAAUAGGGAGGAAAAGUUAGUCGCUAAUAUCGGCUAACCGUGACGUUACCUAUAGAAGAAGCACCGGCUAACUCCGUGCCAGCAGCCGCGGUAAU
Molecule: ribosomal RNA, 496 nt
Filed under: uncultured bacterium
Lineage: Bacteria
Description: bacterial SSU rRNA
Rfam family: Bacterial small subunit ribosomal RNA
Source: RNAcentral